Molecule: transfer-messenger RNA, 363 nt
Filed under: Escherichia coli
Lineage: Bacteria; Pseudomonadati; Pseudomonadota; Gammaproteobacteria; Enterobacterales; Enterobacteriaceae
Also listed under: 1 other name
Description: Standard tmRNA
Rfam family: transfer-messenger RNA
About the family: Bacterial tmRNA, also known as 10Sa RNA or SsrA, is named for its dual tRNA and mRNA-like properties. Its role is to liberate the mRNA from a stalled ribosome.
Source: RNAcentral
GGGGCUGAUUCUGGAUUCGACGGGAUUUGCGAAACCCAAGGUGCAUGCCGAGGGGCGGUUGGCCUCGUAAAAAGCCGCAAAAAAUAGUCGCAAACGACGAAAACUACGCUUUAGCAGCUUAAUAACCUGCUUAGAGCCCUCUCUCCCUAGCCUCCGCUCUUAGGACGGGGAUCAAGAGAGGUCAAACCCAAAAGAGAUCGCGUGGAAGCCCUGCCUGGGGUUGAAGCGUUAAAACUUAAUCAGGCUAGUUUGUUAGUGGCGUGUCCGUCCGCAGCUGGCAAGCGAAUGUAAAGACUGACUAAGCAUGUAGUACCGAGGAUGUAGGAAUUUCGGACGCGGGUUCAACUCCCGCCAGCUCCAUCA